RNAcentral lists this transfer RNA (74 nucleotides) under Microcaldota archaeon. Its description in RNAcentral is "tRNA-Arg". It matches the Rfam family "tRNA". From Rfam's summary of the family: Transfer RNA (tRNA) molecules are approximately 80 nucleotides in length. The record is from RNAcentral. Lineage: Archaea; Nanobdellati; Microcaldota.
GCCCCCAUAGUAUAACUUGGAUAGAACAUGAGCUUGCGGAGCUUAUGAUCCGGGUUCAAAUCCCGGUGGGGGCG